UGGGGGAUAUUGCACAAUGGGCGCAAGCCUGAUGCAGCGACGCCGCGUGGGGGAUGAAGGCCUUCGGGUUGUAAACUUCUUUUGCUCUGAACAAGGCGCACUUUGGGGUGUGUUGAGUGUAGGGGUUGAUUAGCGCCGGCUAACUACGUGCCAGCAGCCGCGGUAAUACGUAGGGCGCGAGCGUUGUCCGGAAUUAUUGGGCGUAAAGGGCUUGUAGGUGGCUGGUUGCGUCUGUCGUGAAAGCUCAUGGCUUAACUGUGUGUUUGCGGUGGGUACGGGCUGGCUUGAGUGCAGUAGGGGAGGCUGGAAUUCCUGGUGUAGCGGUGGAAUGCGCAGAUAUCAGGAGGAAUACCGGUGGCGAAGGCGGGUCUCUGGGCUGUUACUGACACUGAGGAGCGAAAGCAUGGGGAGCGAACAGG
Molecule: ribosomal RNA, 419 nt
Filed under: bacterium
Lineage: Bacteria
Description: partial 16S ribosomal RNA
Rfam family: Bacterial small subunit ribosomal RNA
Source: RNAcentral